Mastomys coucha (southern multimammate mouse) is the source of this 796-nucleotide long non-coding RNA. RefSeq lists it as uncharacterized. NCBI's taxonomy places the organism in Eukaryota, Metazoa, Chordata, Mammalia, Rodentia, Muridae. The record is from RefSeq and is a predicted model, not a curated record. The transcript has 2 exons.
UCCUGUUCACACUGGAUCCCACGAGGACUCUUCAGAGAUCCCCAUCAACCCAGAGAAAGGCUGACCUCGGCUUUUAUUUCUUUCUUUAAUAUUAUUUUAUUUUUGUUUCCACAGCUUCCCACUCCGGCAAGAGGAGCUACGGUUUCCAUUUUCCUGCAGAUAAAGCUCCACUGGAAAGAAUGACAGAGUGGGUGACUAACCCCCAUGGUCUGUGCUAAGCCCUGUUCCCACUUCCCAGGCCACCCACCCGAAGUCCAGCCCAGAAAGGCCCACGAUCAACGAGUCAGCUCUGAACAAGCAGUGGGCUGGAGAGAUGGCUCAGUUGGUAAACUGCUUGAAGCUCAAGCGUGAGGAUCUAGUCCAGUUGCCCCCCCACCCACCCAUGUGAAAAGCCAGAAGCAGUAGCAAAUGCCUGUAACCCCCAUUGCGCCUGGAAGACUGGAUCUCCAGCAUCGCAGCUCAUCUCUGUGAGGAUGUACCCCUUCUACUUAGUACCCAGAGGAGAAGCUACUACAAGGGCCUUGUGUGGCACAGCGCCAUGCUCCAUGUCCUGAAGCAACAAAGAGGUCCUCAGCCACUGCUUAGCUGGGGAUGGCACCAGUGAGCACAGCACCCAGACUGGUGAAUGCAAAGCCUCCUUCCAUCUUUAGCAGCUCUAACGUAAGCGUGAGAAAAUGCUUCAGAAUAGUCCAGACCCAAAGGAUUCAGGCGGAAACACCCUAGUGACAACAGCAGUUACUCCGGAGAUAGGGUCUCUGGUGGCUGUCCCCUGAAAUAGAGGACACCAUACACCCGA